This 322-nucleotide ribosomal RNA is filed under the name uncultured eukaryote. Its description in RNAcentral is "partial 18S ribosomal RNA". It matches the Rfam family "Eukaryotic small subunit ribosomal RNA", at positions 1470 to 1796 of the family's 1831-position model. The record is from RNAcentral.
CCCUUAGAUGUUCUGGGCCGCACGCGUGCUACACUGAGUGGAUCAGCGGGUCAGGUUGCGCGAAAGCGUUUCCUAAUCUUUAAAUCCGCUCGUGAUGGGGAUUGACGGUUGCAAUUUUCUGUCAUGAACGAGGAAUACCUUGUAAGCGCGGGUCAUCAUCCCGCGCUGAAUACGUCCCUGCCCUUUGUACACACCGCCCGUCGCUCCUACCGAUUGAGUGGUCCGGUGAGGCUUUGGGAUCUGAGCGGAAAGAGCGUUUCGCUGUUUCUGCUCGGAAAACUCAGUCGAAGCUUAUCAUUUAGAGGAAGGAGAAGUCGUAACA